GAUGAACGCUGGCGGCGUGCCUAAUACAUGCAAGUCGAGCGAACGGACGAGAAGCUUGCUUCUCUGAUGUUAGCGGCGGACGGGUGAGUAACACGUGGAUAACCUACCUAUAAGACUGGGAUAACUUCGGGAAACCGUAUCUAAUACCGGAUAAUAUUUUGUACCGCAUGGUUCAAAAGUGAAAGACGGUCUUGCUUUCUCUUAUAGAUGGAUCCGCGCUGCAUUAGCUAGUUGGUAAGGUAACGGCUUACCAAGGCAACGAUGCAUAGCCGACCUGAGAGGGGGAUCGGCAAAACGGGAACUGAGACACGGUCCAGACGCCUACGGGAGGCAGCAGGAGGGAAUCUUCCGCAAUGGGCGAAAGCCUGACGGAGCAAAGCCGCGUGAGUGAUGAAGGUCUUCGGAUCGUAAAACUCUGUUAUUAGGGAAGAACAUAUGUGUAAGUAACUGUGCACAUAUUGACGGUACCUAAUCAGAAAGCCACGGCUAACUACGUG
Molecule: ribosomal RNA, 497 nt
Filed under: uncultured bacterium
Lineage: Bacteria
Description: partial 16S ribosomal RNA
Rfam family: Bacterial small subunit ribosomal RNA
Source: RNAcentral